UAAACGAAGUAAAAUGAGCUAAUUUUUGUGAAUUUUUAGAUUCUUUUGUACAUGUUGCAUAAUAUACUUUAAAACAAAAAUUAGGGGUGAUAGGCUUUUCAAAUUUUAGGAUAUCUUGUUGUUUGCGAAAAGUAUUUAGUACAGAAACAAACUUAAAGUGAUUAGGCUUUAAGUUAAUCUAAAAUUAUGUAUCAAUUUUUGUGGUUUAAUAAUCAUUAAUUAUUAAGGUUAGUAUUAAUUUAUUCUGUUUAUUUCUUCUAGCGGACUAGAGGUUAAUUUUAAUACCUUUAUAUAAUGUAUCAAUUAGUAAGGAUAUAGAUUUUAUUAAUGAACUCGGCAACUAUCUUCUCAGCUGUUUAUCAAAAACAUAACCAUAAGAUCAUAUUUAUGGCACUUUCUGCUCAAUGAAAUUUAAAUAGCCGCAGUACUUUGACUGUGCAAAGGUAGCAUAAUCGUUUGGCUUUUAAUUGGGGUCUGGUAUGAAUGAAUAAUUGGGGAGGUGCUGUAUCAAUUAAAGGAACAAAAUUUACUUAAGGGGUGAAAAUUCCCUUCGGAAAUAAUAGACGAGAAGACCCUUGAAAUUUUAAUGAUUAAUUUUGUUGGGGCGACAGAGUAGCAUAUAACCUACUUUAUUAAUAGGACAUUUUUAUAAAGAGAGAUUAAAUUACUCAAGGGAUAACAGCAUAAUUAAAAUUUAGUUUGUGACCUCGAUGUUGGAUUAGGGCAAUCUAACCCAGAAGGUAAGGAUUUAUGCUCUGUUCGAGCAAUUAACCCUACAUGAUC
RNAcentral lists this ribosomal RNA (783 nucleotides) under Satsuma mercatoria. RNAcentral describes it as "partial 16S ribosomal RNA". Lineage: Eukaryota; Metazoa; Mollusca; Gastropoda; Stylommatophora; Camaenidae. The record is from RNAcentral.